RNAcentral lists this ribosomal RNA (108 nucleotides) under Candidatus Jacksonbacteria bacterium RIFCSPLOWO2_02_FULL_43_9. Lineage: Bacteria; Candidatus Jacksoniibacteriota. The record is from RNAcentral.
UUUCGGUGGCUUAACGCGAUGGAACUACUUUUUUCCAUUCCGAACAAAGAAGUAAAACAUCGUAGUGCCGAUGAUACUCUUUAGGGGAAAGUAGGCAACCGCCGAUAU